UAGAAUACGCUCAACAUAAAGCUGAAAAAGCGCAAACAACUGAUCUCUUAACUUCUAAUGACGAAUCAUUGGUUUUAAAAAAGAAGAGAUGCAUCCAAAAAAUGUCGAAGAAAACUGAAAAGUGUCGAUUCGCUUCUAGUAGCAGUGACACCGAGAAAGCAGUUUCUGACGAUGAUUCGAAUGAAUAUCCCGUUCAAUUUGAAAAUUUUGAUGUUUUCACAAACAAAAAACGUGUGGAACAUAAAAAAAUUGAACACGAUACAAAUGAUUCUGUUGAGAUUGAUAAGACUGUAUCAGAACGUGAAGAAAGGCAGAUAAUGAAAGCACAAUUGUUCGAAUUAAAAGAAUAUCAAAAGCAAUGUCUGAAAGAUAUAAACCUCCUGCAUUUAAAACUUAAUGCCAUUUCUGAGUCAAUUUCUUCAUUGGUGAUUGCAUCAAAAACGAUAGUAAAACCCACGAUCUUGCCAAGUGAGCCACUGCCAAUAUUAAACUUAUUUCCUAUGGACUCGGCAGGAUUAAUUCAAGUAGAGGAGUGGCUAUAAACCAAACAAAACAAAAAAAACUUGGUUGCAGAAUUGAGCAAAAUAGGCGGACCAACAGUGAAGGAGGUUGUCAAACGGGUUAUGUAUCGAUUAUUUGAAAAUUCCUUAGGCAUGGAAUACUCUUGGAAAGGCAAAAAAAAGAAACAAGUUUUUAAAUCACUUUUGAUUUCUUCAGUAAUCAUAGAUGUUGUUCGCGCGAAUAAAAAUACAGCAGAUUGUAGAGAAUACGAAAUUAUUGAAAUAAUAAAGUCGUGGCUCGUGAGAAGUAAGGAGCGUUUUUAUAAUAACACAAGGAUUUUAGGGAGCGAUGCACCAAAGAAGGCUCAAAUUGAACCAAAGAAGACUACACCGACUAAACGGAAAAAAGUUUCGACUGAACUGAAAGAAAUUGAACAAGAGGCACCUACUAAACCAAAAUGGACUGUACCGAAGAACAAAUAGAGUAACUUAUUUUUUUAUA
Molecule: non-coding RNA, 1002 nt
Organism: Linepithema humile (Argentine ant)
Lineage: Eukaryota; Metazoa; Arthropoda; Insecta; Hymenoptera; Formicidae
Source: RefSeq, a predicted model, not a curated record